This is a non-coding RNA of Phrynosoma platyrhinos (Desert horned lizard), 72 nucleotides long. The record is from the annotation of a GenBank genome assembly. NCBI's taxonomy places the organism in Eukaryota, Metazoa, Chordata, Lepidosauria, Squamata, Phrynosomatidae.
AACAGUGUAGCAUAGUGGUUUGAGUGUCGGACUACGACUCUGGAGACCAAGGUUCGAGUCCGUGCCCAGCCA